Molecule: unclassified non-coding RNA, 850 nt
Filed under: Cotesia glomerata
Lineage: Eukaryota; Metazoa; Arthropoda; Insecta; Hymenoptera; Braconidae
Description: uncharacterized LOC123266260, transcript variant X4
Source: RNAcentral
GAGCAAAGAUACCAGCAGAUAAUAUUCAUAACGAAUAUAAUAAAUACAUGUCCGUUUCACGAGAUUACCGGAUGCCAUGGAUCUGCUCGAUUAUCUCCCACUUGAGUGUUUACCGAUUAAUACUUUUGUUAUUAACACGGCAUCAAUCUACUUUUUUAUAAACCAACAAUGUGAACAGUCACGGCUCUGAUUUCCCACGCAUGGGAAUUUGUCAGCCAGGAAGUGUCAGAAUAUCUCAGCUUUUGAAUCAACUGUGCAGUGAAUCCCAGAACGAAAAUAUCCUGACCCGGGAUGCUUGCUAUGGGUGUUUUUUUCGAGCAACCAAUAAACCAUCCGGGUAUCCAAUGCUUCUGUCAAUGUCUUCGUGCGCUGAGCUUUAUCUUGGCGACAGCAAUUAUGGACACUGCCAAGAAUACUUGAAAAAUGCAGUAGCCAACUCGGAAUUGAAUUCCAGUCCUGCUGUUAUUUAUUGUACAUUUUUGGAAUGUGUCCGGCAAGUCAACAAGGACUCUUUGGAGGCUCUGAUGAGCUUGAGGUACAAGAAAUUUAGGGCAAGUAGAUCUGGUGUACCGUCAAAAAUCAAAUCAGCCACGCGCAUCUCAGUUGGGUUUCACUUUGUACGUAGGGCUGUCUGUUUAAUAACAAUCUAGAUUGUCAUUUCAGGUGUAAUUUAUUUCUCCAGGCGAUUUUUUCAGGUAACUCUCUCGGAUUCAGACCUGCAUUAGAGAGUCCCUUGAUAUGUUUGAUAAUUUUACGGCAAGUGACAUUAAACUUGCCCAGCUGGUGGUAAAUACAACGGCCUGUAUUCUCGCAAAGACUAGGUGUGGAUCAAUGAAUCCGAUUACAGGAG